Gossypium hirsutum (cotton) is the source of this 106-nucleotide non-coding RNA. NCBI's taxonomy places the organism in Eukaryota, Viridiplantae, Streptophyta, Magnoliopsida, Malvales, Malvaceae. The record is from Rfam.
AUGUCGUGAUGAGGGCACUUUCAUAGUAAUUCCUUGAACUGCUCCCAUGCCUCAUAUAAAGAUUCUUCAUCAAGUUGUUGAAAUGAAGUGAUUCAUUUCGGAUCUU